Brachypodium distachyon (stiff brome) is the source of this 1959-nucleotide RNA transcript. It is a transcript of the gene named 40S ribosomal protein SA, with no coding region annotated. The transcript has 6 exons. NCBI's taxonomy places the organism in Eukaryota, Viridiplantae, Streptophyta, Magnoliopsida, Poales, Poaceae. The record is from RefSeq and is a predicted model, not a curated record.
CUGGGGAUUAGGGUUUAGAGGCGCCGUCCCCUCCCCGUCUGCCCCUUAUCGCCGCCAGUCCCAGACCACCGAUCACUCUCCUUGCCCCUCCUCUCCUUCGCGGGCGCCACCCAGACGCGCUCGCGUCCGGAUCAACCAUGGCGGCAGCUGCUGGAGAAUCCCCGCGGGCAAUGUCGCAGCGCGAGCAGGACAUACAGAUGAUGCUCGCCGCCGACGUCCACCUCGGCACCAAGAACUGCGACUUCCAGAUGGAGCGCUACGUCUUCAAGCGCCGCUCGGAUGGUAUCUACAUCAUCAACCUUGGCAAGACAUGGGAGAAGCUCCAGCUCGCGGCAAGGGUCAUCGUCGCCAUCGAGAACCCCCAGGACAUCAUCGUCCAGUCUGCCCGCCCCUACGGCCAACGCGCCGUCCUCAAGUUCGCGCAGCACACCGGCGCGAAUGCAAUCGCUGGAAGGCAUACCCCUGGUACCUUCACCAACCAGAUGCAGACCUCCUUCAGCGAGCCCCGCCUGCUUAUCCUCACCGACCCAAGAACCGAUCACCAGCCAAUCAAGGAGUCUGCUCUGGGAAACAUCCCAACCAUUGCCUUCUGUGACACUGACUCUCCCAUGCGAUAUGUUGACAUCGGCAUCCCAGCAAACAACAAGGGGAGGAACAGCAUUGGGUGCCUGUUCUGGCUCUUGGCCAGGAUGGUUUUGCAGAUGAGGGGCACUAUCCUACCUGGGCACAAGUGGGAUGUCAUGGUUGAUCUAUUUUUCUACAGGGACCCUGAGGAAGCAAAGGAGCAGGAGGAGGAAGCUGCUGCGGCCCCAGAGUAUACUGCAAUCACUGAUUACCCAGCAGCUGGUCAAUGGGGAGGUGAUUGGCCCGCUGAUGCUGCUGCACCCCUGGCUGCUGGUGGUGCUGAGUGGCCCCUUGCUCAAGCUCCUCAGGCUGUUGCUGAUGGGUGGGAUCAAGCAGGAGCACCUGCUGUGGCUGUGGAAGGUGUCGCUCCCCCCCUGGUGCCCGCUACUGGCUGGGACCCAGCAGCACAACCUGCUGCUCAAGGCUGGGACUAGACUAAGUUUUACUUUGAGAUGUCUUGGCAGCUUAAAGCUCAUGUUUUGUGAGAUCCACCGCACAGGCGCCGAUGGACAGGAAGGACUCGUGGAGCGCCGAGGAGGACGCCAAGCUGACAACCAUGGUCCAGAAGUACGGGGCGGAGCGCUGGAGCCCGGCCGUGGACCGCCGCCCCUUCACCGCCGAGGAGCACACCCUCAUCGCCAACGCGCAGUCACUCCGCGACAACAUGUGGGUCGACAUCGCUUGCGGCCUCAACAGCGGCCGCACCGACAACUCCGUCAAGAACCACUGGAACUCCAACCACCGCAAAUCCCAGCACGAAGCCUGAGCUGCCACCGCAGCGCAGUUCGCCCAUACUAAUGCCGCUGGUUCUGCCUCGGCUACUGAUGCUGCUGCCACGCCACAGAAUAAUUCGCAGGUUUGGGGAAAAGGAAAAGCGGUGGUGAUUGACUUGGAAGAUGACCAGGUGGAAGCCGACGUCAAGGUCCACAACGAGCUGCCGCCGGCCAAGCGGCAACGCGUGAGUAACGGAGGAGGCUCUGCUGCCAGUGGUGGUGGGGACGAUGAUGCGUGGCUCACGCUUAGCCUGGGCUUGCCCCAGCAGCCCGUGCCCAAGCAAGAACCAAUGGUGCCAGUGGCAACAGAGGCGCCGAUCAUGGCGGCGAUGCGGGAGAUGGUGAGGGAGGAGGUGGAUUUGCAGGUAGCGCAGCUCGCGUCCUCGGUCUUCAUGGGCGCCUUUGCUGGCGCCGCCCGUCGCCUCUAGAAUCUAGUUAAUAAUCUCCUAUCGUUUGUUUCUGUCUGUGUGAUUUUCAGAUGGAAAGAACUCCCGUUGAAUAAUGUGAGUCACAUUGUGACCUGAAUAAAUUGAUUUGUGUGGGAACUUCCAUUUGUGUGUUA